Molecule: ribosomal RNA, 407 nt
Filed under: uncultured bacterium
Lineage: Bacteria
Description: partial 16S ribosomal RNA
Rfam family: Bacterial small subunit ribosomal RNA
Source: RNAcentral
AUUGAACGCUGGCGGCAGGCCUAACACAUGCAAGUCGAGCGGAGCGGCGGACGGGUGAGUAAUGCCUAGGAAUCUGCCUGGUAGUGGGGGAUAACGUCCGGAAACGGGCGCUAAUACCGCAUACUAUCAGAUGAGCCUAUGUCGGGUUCGCUAGUGGGUGGGGUAAGGGCCUACCAAGGCGACGAUGCGUAACGGGUCUGAGAGGAUGAUCAGUCACACUGGAACUGAGACACGGUCAGGACUCCUACGGGAGGCAGCAGGGGGGAAUAUUGGACAAUGGGGGAAGGCCUGAUCCAGCCAUGCCGCGUGGGUGAAGAAGGUCUUCGGAUUGUAAGGCCCUUUAAGUUGGGCGGCGUUACCAACAGAAUAAGCACCGGCUAACUACGUGCCAGCAGCCGCGGUAAUUC